RNAcentral lists this ribosomal RNA (320 nucleotides) under uncultured bacterium. RNAcentral's name for it is "bacterial SSU rRNA". It matches the Rfam family "Bacterial small subunit ribosomal RNA", at positions 30 to 355 of the family's 1533-position model. The record is from RNAcentral.
CGAACGCUGGCGGCGUGCUUAACACAUGCAAGUCGAGCGGUAAGGCCUUUCGGGGUACACGAGCGGCGAACGGGUGAGUAACACGUGGGUGAUCUGCCCUGCACUUCGGGAUAAGCCUGGGAAACUGGGUCUAAUACCGGAUAUGACCUCCUAUCGCAUGGUGGGUGGUGGAAAGAUUUAUCGGUGCAGGAUGGGCCCGCGGCCUAUCAGCUUGUUGGUGGGGUAAUGGCCUACCAAGGCGACGACGGGUAGCCGACCUGAGAGGGUGACCGGCCACACUGGGACUGAGACACGGCCCAGACUCCUACGGGAGCAGCAGU